CGUCGUUGACCGUCACUACAUCUGAGGUCGUUUGGUCUUUUCGCCGUAGAUAACUGUGCAUAACCACCAUCCACGCUACAGUCCUGCUCGAGCCAUCUCUCAUUUGCCUCCUGUUCAGAGACAUCAAGCCAACCAGUGCAUUAAAUGCCCACAUGGUUCCUGUCUCCCUUCACCUUGCAGGAAAAUUCACAGAAUGCCAGGGACCAGCUCUGACACCCCUCCCUCACAGUCAUCCCCUCUGCUGUCUGACUGAAGGCCAAUCCACCUCCAAAAUCCCAUCUGCAGAAACCAUGGCUUAGGCUGCACCCGGCCACCUCCGAGCCUGCUCCUCCAGCCCCCAGCUCUUAAAUGCCAGGGUUAUAGUCUCACACCACCAUGCCAAGGCUGGUGUCUAAGGAAUGUGUGAGCCUGCCCACAGCCGGAUUCCGCCACACAGGGCCUCCCUCAGCCUUGUGUCUGCACUCAGGAUCUCUGGUAGCCAAGAUUUACCUUCAUCUACUGAUCUCGCUCAACCCCUGUAGGGCUAGGAUUGUGUUGAUGUCAAAGUCCAUCUAGAAGGACAGGGAAUGUCCAGGCGUCCAGGGCACACCGUGGCAGAUGGCGUCUUCAUCUUCGUCUUUGAGUUUCCUUACAGUGAGAGUGGACUGCUUUCAGCAGAGCCUGCAGACUCAUCCCAGGCUGUGGGGACUUCUCUGCCUUCUCACCCGAGAGCCAAACUACGAGAGUAGGAAACUGAUCCGAGGCUGCCGCACCUGAAAGACGGGGGACGAUCGACUCAAGGUUUGGGGGCUUUGGAAAUCUUGGUUUAAUUAAUUAAUUAGUUUAUUAUUUUUGUUUGUCAUCUUGACACACACUGAAGUUAUCUCGGGAGCAGAAGCUCUACCGAGAAAAUAGCUUGUCUUGUGACUUCUCUUGGGCAGACAGCUGUUAGCUGAAGUAAACCUUUUCUUCCACAAGUUCCUUUUGGUCAGGGUUUAACCACUUUAGGAACCCUAACUAAGACGUUC
Rattus rattus (black rat) is the source of this 1007-nucleotide long non-coding RNA. RefSeq lists it as uncharacterized. NCBI's taxonomy places the organism in Eukaryota, Metazoa, Chordata, Mammalia, Rodentia, Muridae. The record is from RefSeq and is a predicted model, not a curated record. The transcript is spliced from 3 exons.